This 411-nucleotide small RNA is filed under the name Malus domestica (apple). Its description in RNAcentral is "sRNA MD16G0227700". The record is from RNAcentral. Lineage: Eukaryota; Viridiplantae; Streptophyta; Magnoliopsida; Rosales; Rosaceae.
AUGUUACUGGAAAACGAAGAAAAAAUUAUAUAAGCUAUUAGAAACAAUAUACAAUUGUAAAUGUAAAGUUGUGUAAUUUGAUUCUUAAUAAGCAUGCAUAUAUACCGUUUGGAUAUGAAGAAUUAAAAAGCAUAUAGAGCUGUGCACUUAGUUGAGGUAAGAGUUUAGAUGAUGGGAAUCCAUGCUGAUAAUUUGUUGAGGAAAACAAAACUUUAGUUUGAUGUUCAAGCAGAUGGGAACAGACAGAAAGAACAAAAGUUAAAAACUAUUUAAAAGAAUAACAAAGAUAAUUUUUGUAGUACAUGGAAAAUAUAAACUUGUUUGAAUAAAAAGCCUAAGAUGAAAGGGUCAUAUUACGUACUUGAAGUACAAAUGGUUUUAAAGGCUGUACAUUGAAGCUGCAAAAAACAA